Molecule: transfer RNA, 92 nt
Filed under: Okeania sp. KiyG1
Lineage: Bacteria; Bacillati; Cyanobacteriota; Cyanophyceae; Oscillatoriales; Microcoleaceae
Description: tRNA-Ser
Rfam family: tRNA
About the family: Transfer RNA (tRNA) molecules are approximately 80 nucleotides in length. Their secondary structure includes four short double-helical elements and three loops (D, anti-codon, and T loops).
Source: RNAcentral
UGGAGAGGUGGCUGAGUGGUCGAAAGCGGCUCACUGCUAAUGAGUUGUACGGGAGAACCCCGUACCGAGGGUUCGAAUCCCUCCUUCUCCGU